GACGAACGCUGGCGGCGUGCCUAACACAUGCAAGUCGAACGGAGUUGAUCUUUCGGGAUUAACUUAGUGGCGAACGGGUGAGUAACGCGUGAGAAACCUGCCUUUCAGUGGGGGACAACAGUUGGAAACGACUGCUAAUACCGCAUAACGUAUCCGGGGGGCAUCCUCUGGAUACCAAAGCUUUAUGUGCUGAAAGAUGGUCUCGCGUCUGAUUAGCUAGAUGGCGGGGUAACGGCCCACCAUGGCGACGAUCAGUAGCCGGUCUGAGAGGAUGAACGGCCACAUUGGGACUGAGAUACGGCCCAGACUCCUACGGGAGGCAGCAGUGGGGAAUAUUGGGCAAUGGGGGAAACCCUGACCCAGCAACGCCGCGUGAAGGAAGAAGGCC
RNAcentral lists this ribosomal RNA (388 nucleotides) under uncultured bacterium. RNAcentral describes it as "bacterial SSU rRNA". It matches the Rfam family "Bacterial small subunit ribosomal RNA", at positions 28 to 416 of the family's 1533-position model. The record is from RNAcentral.